CAGAACUCUAUGGUUGGGCGGUAAAGUCUAAUGAUGAGUUCUACUGGAUGCUCGUACCAGAAACCAAGAGUGUUUGGAAUACAGUCACAGAAUGCUAGAUCUGGACUAGAGAUCAUUGGAACAUGGGAUUUAAAAGUAGGAAGAAACUAAAUAGUCACAGAAUAUUAGAUCUGGAAUAGAUUUUAGAAGAACUUAGUAAACAGCUAGGUAGCUCAGUGGUUAAAAGAGUCCCAGGACUGGAGUAGAGAGGACAAGGGUUCAAAUUUGACCCCAAACACUUCGCAGCUCCGUGACCCUGGAGCCUGGUCCUAGAGUCCAAGAGACCUAGGAAUUACAGUGCCCCUCAGAUCAUCAGUCCUAUUUCCAACCCACACCCUAAAACCAAUAUCAAGGCAAGAAAAGCAACCCUUGUAGAAAAGAAAUCUACCUUUCCUGUCACCAUCAACAGCAAAUACUGACCAGCUGCAACCAUUGUGCAGGAAUAAUGAACUGGAGGAAUUCCAUGUGAACUGGAACGACCUCCAGGAACUGAUGCAGAGUGAAAGGAGCAGAACCAGGAGAACAUUGUACACAGAGACUGAUACACUGGGGUACAAUCGAAUGUAAUGGACUUCUCUACUAGCAGCAAUGCAAUGAUCCACAUCCAGAGAAAGAACUGUGGGAGUAGAAACACAGAAGAAAAACAACUGUUUGAUCACGGACUCAAAAGAAGAAUGAUGCAAGGGACUUGGAGUUACUGUGUCCGGCCCAUUUGUCCUGGGAUCACCCCGAAGGCUCUGGCCCGCAGGGUCUCAGGGACUCCUGACACCGCGCUGAACACGGUGAACGGAGGACGGCCGAGUCAGGACGGUUAAUUUACAGAAGUACUUUCCCAUCAUCCAUUGCACCUGGAGAGUGGGCCGUUGGGCCUUCUCAAACACAUGAUCUUCAUAGGCCAGACGGGCACAUUCUUAAAGAGUCAGGCCACAGCCCGGGAUCCCUUAAUGUAAAAAUAGCACGGAAGAGGAUUUUACGUUUCUUUGAUAAUUCAUAAUCAGAAAACAGGAUCCGAGAGUGAAAGCUUUAAGUGCAUCCUCCGAAUGAUCAUCAGCUUGUCCUGGUUCACGGAAUCUCGGACAAGUAAGUACGUCUUGUAGAAGGAGGGGAUGCUGGGAAACAAGGCCUGCUUUCUGGGAAAAUACUGUAAAUCAGAUGGAAAGCUAUUUCAAACCAAGUUCAGAAACACUUCAUUUUUUUAAACUCUUAUCUUCCAUCUGGGAAUCAAUACUGUGUAUUGUUUCCCAGGCAGAAAAGUGGGAAGGCCUAAGGACUUGCCCAGGGUCACCCAUCGAGGCCCGUCUUCAGGCCAGCUCUUAGAGGGAAAAGGGAAGAAGAAAGAAAAGAGCCCCUAGAAACUGGUAGCGCUUGCACCAUAGUCCUCCAUCAUAGACUCACGC
Long non-coding RNA from Monodelphis domestica (gray short-tailed opossum), 1436 nucleotides. RefSeq lists it as uncharacterized. The record is from RefSeq and is a predicted model, not a curated record. NCBI's taxonomy places the organism in Eukaryota, Metazoa, Chordata, Mammalia, Didelphimorphia, Didelphidae.